UACGUAGGGGGCAAGCGUUGUCCGGAUUUAUUGGGCGUAAAGAGCGUGUAGGCGGCUAUGCAGGUCCGCUGUGAAAACUCGAGGCUCAACCUCGAGACGUCGGUGGAAACCGCAUGGCUAGAGUCCGGAAGAGGAGAGUGGAAUUCCCGGUGUAGCGGUGAAAUGCGCAGAUAUCGGGAAGAACACCCGUGGCGAAAGCGGCUCUCUGGAACGGUACUGACGCUGAGACGCGAAAGCGUGGGGAGCGAACAGG
This 253-nucleotide ribosomal RNA is filed under the name uncultured bacterium. RNAcentral's name for it is "partial 16S ribosomal RNA". It matches the Rfam family "Bacterial small subunit ribosomal RNA", at positions 524 to 776 of the family's 1533-position model. The record is from RNAcentral.